UGAAAUGCAGAAUAAUGUUGGAUCUUAAGUUUACAAACUAACAACCAGCUGAAUUACUAGUGCAACUGUGUCGGGAAGGUUCCAAAUUUCAAAGUAAAACUAGCAAGCGUUUUUUUGUAGUUGAUAGACUUAGACGGAAGUUCAAUUUACUGACAUAGGUUCUGAAAAAAAUGAAUUAUGAUGAUCUCCUAUUCUAAAUAACAGUAUAAAUGAUGGUGAAUCUGUCAUGGUGCCUCUGUCAGUCUCCUCCCCCUCCCCUCUCCGCUUGGCUGCGGAUCCUUCUCAGCUGCGACCACUCACCUCAUCACCAUGCCGGCCUACUUAAGGAGCUCCAGGACCUUCAUUCCCCGCCAGUCCGUUGCCCCUGAUGGAAUUCCUCACCACGAGUGGUCGUCAGUCUCAGCUUCAUCCUGGAUCCCCAGUUUGGUCUUCGCCUGCAGUCACACCACGAGCCUCUGCCUCGGACCUCAACCCACGCUCUUCCUCCCAUCUCUCCAUUAAAUCUUUUUACCUGC
Oryzias melastigma (Indian medaka) is the source of this 515-nucleotide long non-coding RNA. RefSeq lists it as uncharacterized. The transcript has 2 exons. The record is from RefSeq and is a predicted model, not a curated record. NCBI's taxonomy places the organism in Eukaryota, Metazoa, Chordata, Actinopteri, Beloniformes, Adrianichthyidae.